RNA transcript from Aegilops tauschii subsp. strangulata, 2298 nucleotides. RefSeq lists it as uncharacterized. Lineage: Eukaryota; Viridiplantae; Streptophyta; Magnoliopsida; Poales; Poaceae. The record is from RefSeq and is a predicted model, not a curated record.
AAGCUUCAUGGCCGGAUUAAUUAGUGGAGCCAGUGGCACUGUUGCGACCCCGCUGAGUUAGGUCCGGUUGGGCUGGGUUCCUGGAACACGCGUGACAGAGACCGGGCAGUGCCCCUCCCCUCCGCCUCGGAAUUCUUUACCCUUUCCCGGCGAUUCAUAUGCCGCGCCUUUGCGGAGCAAGAAAGAUCAGGGAGGGGAUCCACCCAUGGAAUGGAUGAUCAACACGCUUUAGGCCGGGCACGGGUCAAUUAACUAAGUGGCAUGCGCGUCACGUUCUCGCCUCCCUCCCCUCCCAUCCCAUGAUUAGGAUUUAGGAUGAUGCUUAUAGCGAGGUAGUGGUACAAGUAGAGGCUCCCGGGGUCGCUUGGGGUGGUGGUAGGCAGCUGGAGACUGCGGAAUUGUUGGCGGGCGCGCUCCCGUGUCCGAGAGGAACCCCCUUUUCUCCUGGCAUUAUCCGCUGAGGAGUCUGAGAUAAUUGGAGGUCACUACUAUAUUGAUUGAUCGAUAAGGCUAGGUGUGCGUGCCGGGCGGCCAUGGGUUCUUGCGUGUCGACCACGAGGCGCCGCCGGAGGUCCUCCAGGAAGCUGUCGGCCACGGCGACCAGGUUCCGCCGGAAGGUGUCCGCCGCGAUCGCCGGGGACGCGGCCGGCCGCUUCGCCGCGCGCCACGGGGUCGUGCACGUCGACGGCGCGCCGCCGGCCUCGGGCGUGACCCUCCACCUCACGCAGCUGCAGUGGCAGCACAGCCAGAUGGACGCAGGGAAUGUGAUCUGCGACGAGGCGUGGUACGACUCCGUCAGCAUGCUGGGAGACACGGCCGGCUCCGACGACGACGACAACGAUUACUCCAGCGUCAGUGGAGAUCCUCUCCCGGAAGACGUCGCCGGCGGCACGAGCGCGUCGCCGUGCAAGGACGCGGCGUGCUUGGCGGACGCCGUGCACCGGCUCCGGAGCAUCGCGGACGCGGAGGCGUGCCAGGGCGACCCCCCGGAGAAAAGCGAGGACCCCGGCGCUGCUCCUGCUCCUGGUCAUGCCGCUGCCGGUGGCCUGAAAGAACCGCAGAGCGCGGCGUCCUGCUCGCCUCGGCCUCUCCCGGGCUCCGUCCCGAGCCACAAGGUGCAGCCGAUGCCGGUCGCCGGGUUCAGCCCGCACCACCAGAGGAAGAAAUCGGCCGUCGUCAGGCUCUCCUUCCGGAGGAGGUCGUACGAGGGCGAUGAGAUGACCGAAAUGACUGGCUCGGCCAAGUACCUGUACCGGCCGAGAGCUGGCCUGACGCUGCCGUGUGCGGCCGGCGAGAAGCCGUCGGAGGGCUGCUGGUCGGCCCUCGAGCCGUCGGCGUUCAGGGUCAGAGGGGAGGGCUUCUUCAGAGACAAGAGGAAAUCCCCAGCCCCAAACUGCUCCCCCUACACCCCGAUCGGAGCGGACAUGUUUGCCUGCCCAAGGAAGGUGCACCACAUCGCGCAGCACAUCGCGCUCCCGUCGCUCAAGCCCCACGACGCCUUCCCCUCGCUCCUCAUUGUGAACAUUCAGUUGCCUACCUACCCUACUACCAUGUUCGGCGAGAACGAUGGCGAUGGCGUGUUAGCCUGGUCCUGUAUUUCAAGAUAUCCGAUAGCUUCGACAAGGAGAUCUCUCCUCAGCUCAAGGACAGCAUCAAGAGUGUUAUGAACGAGGAAAUGGAGAAGGUCAAGGGGUUCCCGGUGGACAGCAACGUGCCCUACACAGAGAGGCUGAAAAUCCUGGCCGGCAUUGUAAACCCUGAAGACCUGCAGCUCAGCGCGGCCGAGAGGAGGCUUGUGCAGACCUAUAACCAGAAGCCGGUGCUGUCUAGGCCCCAGCACAAAUUCUACAAGGGCUCGAACUACUUCGAGAUCGACAUCGACGUGCACCGGUUCAGCUACAUAUCGCGAAAGGGCCUCGAGACCUUCCGAGAGCGGCUGAAACAUGGUGUCAUUGAUCUUGGGCUGACCAUUCAGGCGCAGAAGGCCGAGGAGCUACCUGAGCAUGUGCUGUGCUGCAUGAGGCUGAACAAGUUGGAUUUUGCAGACAACGGGCAAAUACCGACGCUCAUAACUUCCAGCGAUGAAUGAAGCUGGAAAAUGUACUGACUUUGAGAGUGAGAGAGACGAGCUGUAUAUAAUACCGGGAGAUAGAUGUAGGAACUAACGCAAAUUUGUUGGGUAACGGUGUAUUGAUCGUGCAAAUAAUCUCGUGCACCGAAUUGCAAUUGGAGCAGUUCUGCUGUCCAAAGUUGUUCAGAUGUUCGAAUAGCCCGCAUGCCUUUUUCAGAACAUGGAAA